This 450-nucleotide ribosomal RNA is filed under the name uncultured bacterium. RNAcentral's name for it is "partial 16S ribosomal RNA". It matches the Rfam family "Bacterial small subunit ribosomal RNA", at positions 338 to 795 of the family's 1533-position model. The record is from RNAcentral.
CCUACGGGGGGCUGCAGUGAGGAAUAUUGGUCAAUGGGCGCAAGCCUGAACCAGCCAUCCCGCGUGCAGGAAGACGGCCCUAUGGGUUGUAAACUGCUUUUCCAGGGGGAGAAACUUGCGCACGUGUUGCGCAAUUGACGGUACCCUGGGAAUAAGCAUCGGCUAACUCCGUGCCAGCAGCCGCGGUAAUACGGAGGAUGCGGAUGUUAUCCGGAUAAAGUGGGCGUAGAGGGUGCGUUAACUCAGUGGUGAAAUCCUGCAGCUUAACUGCAGAACUGCCAUUGAUACUGAUAGCCUUGAGUUUGGUUAAGGUAGGCGGAAUGUGUAAUGUAGCGGUGAAAUGCUUAGAUAUUACACAGAACACCAAUUGCGUAGGCAGCUUACUGAGCCGACACUGACGCUGAGGCACGAAAGCGUGGGGAUCGAACAGGAUUAGAUACCCUUGUAGUC